Molecule: ribosomal RNA, 253 nt
Filed under: uncultured bacterium
Lineage: Bacteria
Description: partial 16S ribosomal RNA
Rfam family: Bacterial small subunit ribosomal RNA
Source: RNAcentral
UACAGAGGGGGCAAGCGUUGUUCGGAAUUACUGGGCGUAAAGGGCGCGUAGGCGGCCUGUUAAGUCGAACGUGAAAUCCCCGGGCUCAACCCGGGAACUGCGUCCGAUACUGGCAGGCUCGAAUCCGGGAGAGGGAUGCGGAAUUCCAGGUGUAGCGGUGAAAUGCGUAGAUAUCUGGAGGAACACCGGUGGCGAAGGCGGCAUCCUGGACCGGCAUUGACGCUGAGGCGCGAAAGCUAGGGGAGCGAACGGG